AGCCUCCCAAAGUGCUGGGAUGACAGGCAUGAGCCACCAUGCCAGGCCUAUUUUUUUUUUAAUCCAAACCACUUACUAUCAAACUCCACUCUGCUUCUGACCUGCAAGGGGUGUGUGUGUGUGUGUGUGUGUGUGUGUGUGUGUGUGUGUGUGUCUGUGUGUCUGUGUCUUUGAUGUUAUAUGCUGCUAUAUGUAUUGGGGGAAGAGAAGUUCCCCCAUUCUCUCCUCAGCCUCACUUCCUCAUUUGAGGCUGCUGAGGAGAAACCCACAGGGACCCAGGGGCACAGGGGCCUGCCUGGGGCUUUGAGGGGAGCUGGGGAUGUCCAGCGGAGUGGGGUGGCCCUGCUGAGGCAGCUGUCCUUGGUGCCCUGUUCACCGAGGCCUGGGGACUCUGCAGGACACGCUGGUCAGAAUGUGCUUCUGGCUGUGGUCAUAGACGGGUGUGAGUCAGCCCCAGGAGACAUACUUUGCCAAAGAAAUGCACUUCCUCUCCUGCCUCUCCUCUCUUUAGCUGCAGCUGUUCUGAGCUGUUGCCUUUGACCCACUGUGAACUGGGAAGAGCACCCAUCCCCUCCCACUGGCCAGGCCUCUAGCUCAGCCCUGAGGACCCCAACCCAGGCCCGGUAGCAUCUUCAAGGCUUUUGGCUCCAUAAGGUCACCCACAUGGCGGGCAGCCUCCCGACCCAGGCCAGUGACCCCUGUAGAGAGCAAGACAGAAACCAGAAAAGCUCCUGGAAGCCAGAAGCAAAACUCCACAUCCGUGGGCAGGAGCCUCGCAGCAGGAAUGGGUAGGAAGGAGCCAGCUGGCCUACUUGACUAUAUUGGCAGCCGUUCCAGCCAUUUAGGUCCUAGAGGGAUUUGCUUGUCAUCUAUUUGUGGAGCACCCUCUGUGUCCUAGACACUGACUAGGCAUCCAGGAUCCAGUGGGGACAGACACACAGGACCCUGCUCUCGUGGACCACACAUGCGAGGGGAGAGACAGCCCAUGCUCUAGUGCCAGAGGGUACUGGGUGGGCCUUUUCUGCUGCUCGAAUGGGUGGCCGGACUCAGAGCUAAGGAAAAAGGGCCUUGAGUACCCCAUAUUCUAAAACAAAGGAACCAUUUGAGACUAGGCCCAUUUGCCUACAGGAUUUAUUAAGAGAUGGUUAAAGCAAUUCUGCUAUGCCCCCAAAUCUCCCAGCACCCCCUUCCUCAGUCUCCAUAAGCAGAAGACCAGGACAGGGGAAGGAAGAGAGAGGGAGAUGGGUCACUGGAGUCCUGGGGUGCUGACUCCCUCCCCUCCUCUCCCUGGAUCUGGAUUUGCUGUUGAGAUCAGCCCACGCGCCAUCUGGACAGGGAGGUUGGGGGAGGGCAGGAUUGAAGAGGCAGAGACAGACAGGGCAGGGACUCCUUGGGGCACCCAGCAGUCGUUGCCCAUGGGUCAGGUGGACAUGGCGGAAGGUGCAUGUCCUUGAGCUGUCUUGUCCAUGUCCUCCCAAGAGGGAGGCCUGCAGCUGUGCAGACCCACAGUCGGUAGGCUGUUGGGUGGAGGUUGGGGCAGUGGCUGAGUGGUGGGGUGAGAGAUAUAGAGCUGAAGGGACCUCUCACAUCAGGGAACAGUGGUGCGAGGUGGCCCUGUGGUGAACCCACAAGAGAGUUAGCAUCUGAACGCCAUCAUGCCGGGAACAUUCAUAGCCAGAGAAGAAAUGGCCACAGCUGACAGGGACUUUCCUGAAAGCUCUCCCUCCCCAUCUGUGUGAAAGAAGAGAAAAGGGGAGAGAAAAGGAGGAGGAGAGAGAGAGAGGAGUGGGGGUACAGGGGCAAACUACACCCCUCCCCACUCCCCUGGGCCAAAUCCAGACCCUGCCUGGGGAAGGGAAAUGGUUAGUCUUGGUUAGAUGGACCAGCCUAGAUGGGGCUGGGCCUUUAAUAAGCUAAAGCAACAGGAAUACUAGAAGAUCUGCCCAAGAUACUGUUACGGGACAGAAAAAGGAGAACCAACAUAGUUCAUCUAGAAGCAAUGAUGGAAGGGGGAAAAAAACUUGCUCAAUAAGCAAGUUACCCAUAUAAACAAAUACAUUAAUAAGAAAAUGUCUUGCUGCCAAAAUGCGUUCUCUCAUAUUAGAGAUGCUCUUGAAUUAUUUUACAUUCCUCCUCUUAAGAGGUGAAGUGUCUUCCCUCUGUUUGAAUCUGAAUUGGCCUGGGUCUGCGUUGAUCAGUAGACUAUAGCAGAAGAGACCCUAUACUUGUUUCAAGUCUAGCUUUCAAGAGGACUGGCAGCUUCUGCCUUGGUCUGUUGGAACCCUAUGCUAUCAUGUAAGAUGUCCAACUACCCUGAGGUCACCAUGUUGGAAGGAAGCUCAAGCUGGCCGUAUAGAGAUGUGGAAAAAGAGAGAGAGAGAGAGACUCAGCCAACCCCAAGCUAUUCCAACCCGCAGCCAUUACAGUUAUCUUAGCAGAUGCCCCAGAUCUUACAGAGCAAAGACAAGCUGUAUCCACUGUGCCGUUUGAUUUCCUUGAUGCACAGAAACAUAAAAUACUAUAAUAACAAAUUGUUUUGAGGUAGUUUGUUAUGCAGCAAUAAGAAACCAGAACAGAAAAUAAGGAAAGGUGAAGAGAUAGCGUUGGGGGGAAGGUACUCUAGGUCAGGAGGUUAUGGAUGGCAUCUCUGUGGAGAUGACAUUGAUGGUAAAGUUUGAAGGACAAGAAGGAGUUGGUCAUGUAAAGAUCAGGGAUAAGAGCACUCCAGAGGGCACAGCUGGUGGAAAGUGCUGGAAGGAACCCCAGUGUGGCUGGAGCAUGAUGGGCAGGGAGGGGGGAUAUGGGAUGUGAUGUUGGAAGUAGCCAGGGGCCAGACCAUAAAGGGCUUUGCAAGUCAGGGUAAGGAGUUCAAAUUUUGUUAUAAUGUGAGAUAAACCACUGCAGAGUUUCAAACAGGGGAAUGAAAUGACAUUAGAUACAUUUUUUUCUUUUUGAGACAGGGUUUCACUCUGUCACCCAUGCUAGAGUGCAGUGGCACAAUCUCCGCUCACUGCAGCCUCCACCUGCCGGGUUCAAGCGAUUCUCAUGCCUCAGCCUCCUGAGUAGCUAGGACUACAGGUGCACACCACCACACCUGGCUAAUUUUUGUGUUUUUAUUAGAGACAGGGUUUUGCCAUGUUGGCCAGGCUGGUCUCAAACUCCUGACCUCAAGUGAUCCACCCACCUCAGCCUCCCAAAGUGUUAGGAUUACAGGCGUGAGCCACCACACCCAGCCAUUAGGUACAUUUUUGAACAAUCACUCCACCCACUAUGUGGAAAAUGGUCUCUAGGAGUGUAAAACUUAGAGUACAAAUACCACUUCAAAGGCUGUGGAGAAGCCAGGCAACCAAUUAUGGUGGUUUGGUCUAGGGAGAAGUAACAAGGAUAGAGAGAAGUAGAUUGUUUGGUCUUAAUCAUGCACGUGGGCUGGUAACCCUGAUCAUUUAUUCACUCAUGAGCAUUUUUUGAGUCUACAAGGCCUAGGUAUUUUGUAGUAGAUACAUGUAUGACAGGGCAAAGUAUAUUAGCAAGCAAAAGUCUUCCCUACCUACUAAAGAAAAUUCUAUUCUGCAAUAAAUAAGGGGAAUAAGGAGAGAGAUCACAGCUGGAGGGCUAAGCUGGUCUACCUAACAGCUAGGAAAGAGAAAGCAAGCAGGUAGGCAGAGGGAAAUAAAAGGCCUCGGGGCUGGGACUAGAGAAGGAGUUUGGGGUUUUGCUGUGGAGUCUCUAUUGAUAUAAGACAGUUUGAGAAGGGCUUUGAGGAAGCACUGUCAUGCUCCCUAACAUUGCAGGCCCGAAUGUUCUUUGAGAGACGCCCACUCAGUGAGACACUAGGCAGAGACUGAACCCAGGGGAGCACCUCGAUUAGCUAGGGUUACGCAGAGAGAAAUAAGACAUUGUCGCUGACCUUAAAAAGUUCGUCAGCGGAAUCAGAUAUACACAGGUGAUUAGAAUAGAAGGAAAGCAGGCCAUGUAGCUAAAAGAAUGCAGCUGAAGAGCUGCUAAAGCCACCUGAGAUGACCUGCAGCUGGGGAACAUCAGAACUGGCUUUGCAAAGCUGGUGGCAUUUGAGCUGUGACUUGAAGAGUAGGCAAGAUUUGGGUCUGGGGAGAUGACUGGGGAAGCCAUUCUAGGUGGAGGCAACCCAUUAACAAAGACCCCAGAGCUGGCAAAACCCCUACCUGUACAGGGACUCUCCAGCGGUUCAGUUUGGCUGAUGCUUAAGGCAGGUGAAUCAGAGGGUGAUGGCUAAGGCUGGUAGGCGGGCUGGGCCCCGGGUGCCAUGCUGGGGAGUUAGGGCUGUGCUAGGCUGCAAGAGGCAUGUUUUUUAAACAAUAACGUGGCCGGGCACGUCAGGGUCCAACCUGGGGGGGUGCUGCAAGUCCCCAUGUCAGAACCUGGGGUGCACCCUGGAGCUGUCGCUCCUGGAUUAGCCGGAAAUACAGCUUCUCUCCAGACAUGGGAGAGGCAAAGGAGGUCACAGGACUUUCCUCUCACAUCCAAACCCAGGAGGCUCUGGGUGCCUGGGAUCCUUCUUAGGAACCAGCCCUGGCCAGUCAAGAUGAGCUCCAGCAGCGGAGAAGACACACAGGCUGCUCUACUGAGACCUUCCUCUUUGUGUGUAUA
Molecule: long non-coding RNA, 4626 nt
Filed under: Homo sapiens (human)
Lineage: Eukaryota; Metazoa; Chordata; Mammalia; Primates; Hominidae
Description: HSALNT0213188
Source: RNAcentral